GGGCGAUGAGGUAGAGGGUCCUCCGGCUCUCCCAGGGUGCGGCGCCAGGUACUGCUGCCACCCUAGGCUGCUAAGAAGGCCCUAGAGCCGUCGCCCCGCCUCGCACCAAUCCCAGCCCAGGUAGGCUCCGAAGAGUCCAAUCACCGUCCGAGAGGGGUGGGCCUCGCCGCUCGGAUCCGCGCCGCCCUCCAGAGGGACAUCGCUGCCAUCCAAUAAGCUCAGCUGGAGAAAUGCAUCACUGGCUUAAGAUGCUUGCCAUGAUAGCAUAAGGAGUGGACUUGAGAUCCCCAAAAGCCUACAUAAAUGUCGGAUUUCACGUUUUAAGGUAAAGAGGGAAGGAGAAGAAGAAAGAAACAAACAGCAUGACAGCAUUCUCCUAUCACCACAGCAAGCCUUCUCACAGGAAGAAAACUGAUUCUGGAAGAUGAUGUUACUUCCCAAAGGGCAUGAAGUUGUUUAACUUGAGACGUACCUACCUCUGAUCCUUAAACUCUUCCACUGUGUGGAACUGUUGCAGAUGGCCCGUGUGAACAUGCUACACUCUAAGUUCCCACCGCCAUGAACCAAGCUGUGCCAGACAUCAUGCCUUCCAUGCCAUGAUGGAACUAUGAGCCAAAAAUAAAGGUCUUCUUUAAGUUGCUUCCAUCAAGAGUUUUGUCAGAGUGAUGUCAAAAGUAGCUAAUACAAGUGACCUAAUACAGCAUUUUCUAAUAGGAAAAGAAUGUGAGAUUAUGUUGCUGAAGAUGCCACAUGUUUUGGACACAGAACUUGGAGGAAUCAAGCUGGAACUAACCUGGAAGUCUCCUCCCUGAGGAUUAGGUCUCAUAGCAUUGGAAGGUACUAUGCAAGCUACCAAAGGAGAAAGUCCUACCCAGACAGAAAGCCUAUGAACUACAACAGUGGCCCACCCAAGUAAGAUAUCUCCAAUGGUGCAAUCAUGACACCGUUAUCUUUGGGGUAGCCAACAGCUAUCUAAAUAGACUUAUGGCCCACUCAAUAGGAAGGAAUUCAUGUGUGAUACUGCAAACCUAACCAACCACCAAUAGCUAUAAGUCAUAGAUCCUAGAAAAGAACCUGUU
Long non-coding RNA from Mesocricetus auratus (golden hamster), 1079 nucleotides. RefSeq lists it as uncharacterized. The record is from RefSeq and is a predicted model, not a curated record. The transcript has 6 exons. NCBI's taxonomy places the organism in Eukaryota, Metazoa, Chordata, Mammalia, Rodentia, Cricetidae.